UAAUUUCUGUGAGCCUGUAUAGUCAUGGAUGGAGGAAGUGAUCUUGCCUCGUUCAUCCACUCUUCCAAAACUAAGUGAACUUUAGUCUUUCCUCGAAGUUCUUCAGGAAUCAGGAGUCCAUGACCUGGAGGACUUGAACUACAUGCAAAAGAGUGACCUUCCUCAUGUCCUAAAGCCUGUGGAAGUGAGGAAACAGCUUUCACAUUUCAGAACCAUAAGCCAAAGAGAUGUGUUGGGCAGACCUCCAAGCAACCACCAGUCCUCAAAUACAGCCUGUGACAGUCUUCAAAUAUAGUCAGAUGAGACUUUCUCUUCAGAUGACUCUUCAAGAUAAAUGCAGACAAGGGAUCGAAAGUGGAGAAGAAUGCUUCCAGAAAGCAGCCGGUGGUCAGUCCAAACGUUCUUUCCCUAAUAACAAAAAUUGUGGACUACAAAUGGAGGGAGUAAUAAGAACACUUAUCAGAAGAGAUUGUUGCAUUCCAUUGUUGCUGCAGUUACACAGUUGAGGUGUUUUUUGUUUUUCAAGAUGGGCAUCUGUUUGUAUUUCACUGUAAAUCGUAGUGGCACCUACUGUAAACUGUUCCUGGUUUUAAACAUAAUUUAUCUCUUCACAAGCGGCCAAUUGUUAAGUAUUUUCAUCUGUAUUUUUCAUUUGUUUUGUAAGCAUGAACUUGCAAGAGGGGCAACGUUUUUUCUGUCCUGGUCUGCUGUGAAUUCAACAAAAUUGAAUAAAUGUUGAGAAAUGUGGAGAA
This is a long non-coding RNA of Acanthopagrus latus (yellowfin seabream), 752 nucleotides long. RefSeq lists it as uncharacterized. The transcript is spliced from 3 exons. The record is from RefSeq and is a predicted model, not a curated record. NCBI's taxonomy places the organism in Eukaryota, Metazoa, Chordata, Actinopteri, Spariformes, Sparidae.